GACGAACGCUGGCGGCGUGCUUAACACAUGCAAGUCGAACGGAAAGGCCCUGCUUUUGUGGGGUGCUCGAGUGGCGAACGGGUGAGUAACACGUGAGUAACCUUCCCUUGACUUUGGGAUAACUUCAGGAAACUGGGGCUAAUACCGGAUAGGAGCUCCUGCUGCAUGGUGGGGUUUGGAAAGUUUCGGCGGUGGUGGAUGGACUCGCGGCUUAUCAGCUUGUUGGUGGAGGAGUGGCUUACCAAGGCUUUGACGGGUAGCCGGCCUGAGAGGGUGACCGGCCACAUUGGGACUGAGAUACGGACCAGAGUCCUACGGGAGGCAGCAGUGGGGAAUAUUGCCCAAUGGGCGGAAGCCUGAUGCAGCAACGCCGCGUGCGGGAUGACGGCCUUCGGGUUGUAAACCGCUUUAGCCUGUGACGAAGCGUGAGUGACGGUAAUGGGUAAAGAAGCACCGGCUAACUACGUG
Molecule: ribosomal RNA, 468 nt
Filed under: uncultured bacterium
Lineage: Bacteria
Description: partial 16S ribosomal RNA
Rfam family: Bacterial small subunit ribosomal RNA
Source: RNAcentral